UUUGACCACUUUACUGUGGAAGGAUGAACGGGUUGCAAUAAAAUGGUGGCUGCGACUGUUUAAUAAAAACACAGCACUCUGCAAACACGAAAGUGGACGUAUAGGGUGUGACGCCUGCCCGGUGCUGGAAGAUUAAAUGAUGGGGUGCAAGCUCUUGAUUGAAGUCCCAGUAAACGGCGGCCGUAACUAUAACGGUCCUAAGGUAGCGAAAUUCCUUGUCGGGUAAGUUCCGACCUGCACGAAUGGCGUAACGAUGGCCACACUGUCUCCUCCCGAGACUCAGCGAAGUUGAAAUGUUUGUGAUGAUGCAAUCUACCCGCGGCUAGACGGAAAGACCCCAUGAACCUUUACUGUAGCUUUGCAUUGGACUUUGAAUCAAUCUGUGUAGGAUAGGUGGGAGGCUUUGAAGCGGGGACGCCAGUUCUCGUGGAGCCAUCCUUGAAAUACCACCCUGGUUCAUUUGAGGUUCUAACCUUGGUCCGUUAUCCGGAUCGGGGACAGUGCAUGGUAGGCAGUUUGACUGGGGCGGUCUCCUCCUAAAGUGUAACGGAGGAGUUCGAAGGUACGCUAGGUACGGUCGGACAUCGUGCUAAUAGUGCAAUGGCAUAAGCGUGCUUAACUGCGAGACCGACAAGUCGAGCAGGUACGAAAGUAGGACAUAGUGAUCCGGUGGUUCUGUAUGGAAGGGCCAUCGCUCAACGGAUAAAAGGUACUCUGGGGAUAACAGGCUGAUUCCUCCCAAGAGUUCAUAUCGACGGGGGAGUUUGGCACCUCGAUGUCGGCUCAUCACAUCCUGGGGCUGUAGCCGGUCCCAAGGGUAUGGCUGUUCGCCAUUUAAAGUGGUACGUGAGCUGGGUUUAAAACGUCGUGAGACAGUUUGGUCCCUAUCUGCCGUGGGCGUUGGAAAUUUGAAGGGGGCUGCUCCUAGUACGAGAGGACCGGAGUGGACGAACCUCUGGUGUACCGGUUGUCACGCCAGUGGCAUUGCCGGGUAGCUAAGUUCGGAAGAGAUAACCGCUGAAAGCAUCUAAGCGGGAAACUUGCCUUGAGAUGAGAUUUCCCGGAGCCUUGAGCUCCUUGAAGGGUCGUUCGAGACCAGGACGUUGAUAGGCUGGGUGUGGAAGUGCAGUAAUGCAUUAAGCUAACCAGUACUAAUUGCCCGUACGGCUUGUCCCU
This 1176-nucleotide ribosomal RNA is filed under the name Massilia timonae CCUG 45783. Its description in RNAcentral is "bacterial LSU rRNA". It matches the Rfam family "Bacterial large subunit ribosomal RNA", at positions 1746 to 2925 of the family's 2925-position model. The record is from RNAcentral. Lineage: Bacteria; Pseudomonadati; Pseudomonadota; Betaproteobacteria; Burkholderiales; Oxalobacteraceae.